This 424-nucleotide ribosomal RNA is filed under the name Verrucomicrobiota bacterium. Its description in RNAcentral is "Verrucomicrobia bacterium partial 16S ribosomal RNA". It matches the Rfam family "Bacterial small subunit ribosomal RNA", at positions 355 to 776 of the family's 1533-position model. The record is from RNAcentral. Lineage: Bacteria; Pseudomonadati; Verrucomicrobiota.
UGAGGAAUAUUGGUCAAUGGGCGAGAGUCUGAACCAGCCAAGUAGCGUGCAGGAUGACGGCCCUAUGGGUUGUAAACUGCUUUUAUAUGGGAAUAAAGUGAGGGACGUGUCAUUUAUUGCAUGUACCAUACGAAUAAGGACCGGCUAAUUCCGUGCCAGCAGCCGCGGUAAUACGGAAGGUCCAGGCGUUAUCCGGAUUUAUUGGGUUUAAAGGGAGCGUAGGCUGUUUGUUAAGCGUGUUGUGAAAUGUAAGAGCUCAACUUUUAGAUUGCAGCGCGAACUGGCAGACUUGAGUGCGCACAACGUAGGCGGAAUUCAUGGUGUAGCGGUGAAAUGCUUAGAUAUCAUGACGAACUCCGAUUGCGAAGGCAGCUUACGGGAGCGCAACUGACGCUAAAGCUCGAAGGUGCGGGUAUCGAACAGG